Rhagoletis pomonella (apple maggot) is the source of this 1304-nucleotide long non-coding RNA. RefSeq lists it as uncharacterized. The transcript is spliced from 3 exons. NCBI's taxonomy places the organism in Eukaryota, Metazoa, Arthropoda, Insecta, Diptera, Tephritidae. The record is from RefSeq and is a predicted model, not a curated record.
GGCGUAGCCAGGUAGGGGUAGGGUAUAGGGUAUAUAUAUAAAAUAGUACCCUGAAAUGCCAGCUUAAGAGGGCCGAAACAAGUAGUCGUUAUUGGUAUGCAGCGGAAUAUUAUUGUUACAGAGGAACAUAUAACAAUGGUAAAAGAGCCUAACUCGAGUUUAAUUGGUUUUGUAACACCUACUAACGGGAGCAGCGAUGCAAUUACCUCUGAAAUGAUGGAUUUUUUAAAAAGAGAAGAUUAUUCAUUGGAGCAAUUGAUUGCAAUUAACUGCGAUGGAACGAGAUGUAACACUGGGAAAAGCCGAGGUACCAUCUGUAAUUUAGAGCAUAAGUUGGAGCGACCACUGCAGUGGUUUAUAUGUCUGUUUCACUUCAACGAAUUGACGUUUACGGCGGUAUUAAAACACUUCUUAGGGAAGGCUAGUGGGCCACAAAACUGGCCUGGAUUAAUUGGUUAUUCCCUACAAAAUUGCGAAAAUUUACCAGCUGCACACAACUUCGAACCAAUCCCAAUGGGUGAGAUGCCCGAAAAUAUUGACGAGUGGGACUUGAGAGCCGAUCAAAAAUAUUUAUUUAAUUUGGUUUGAGCAGUCGAUAGUGGAGUUUGCAGUGAAUAUCUAGCAAGUAUUAAACCAGGUCCUCGGAAUCUUUCGCGAUGGCUGACAACAGCGGCUAGGGUACUUCGUCUGUAUGUUACGAAGCCAGUGGCUUCAGAAAAGUUAAAAAAACUUACAUUCUUUGUAGUAAAGGUUUAUGCGCCAUUUUGGUUUUUAAUAAAAAAAAAGCCGAAAGCCAUAAAUGGCAGCCGACACUUACUACAGUAUAUUAAAUGGAUUCGACAAUUGCCUACAGAUAUGCAAGAAACUGUACAACACUCUGUGCAAAUUAAUGGGUUUUUCGCUCAUCCGGAAAAUGUUUUAUUAUCAAUGAUAACAGACCAGGAUAAACCAGUACGAAAUGAAGGAUAUGACAAAAUUUUUGAAUUUCGAGCGCAUGGAGUUCAUAACAUUCGUCAGUUUUCGUGCCAAGAAUAAUUUUUGAUGCUACGUCGUUAACGAAUUUAAUUGACUGGGACGAAGUUGGAAAUGUUACAGAACCGCCAUGUUUACAAUUUUAUUCGGAUGAUGUUUUGAUUUCUUUUUACAAUUCCGACAAAGUUAUCAAAAUUCCAGACUUUCCUUGUCAUUCGCAAAACACUGAGCGGUUUGUACAAAUCGUGGCUCAAUCCAGUACCUCAGUCAUUGAAAAAAAUCGUCUUGGUUAUAUUGCUAAUAAAAUAGAAUCACGCAAAUGUUACAAACGA